Molecule: ribosomal RNA, 429 nt
Filed under: Bacteroidota bacterium
Lineage: Bacteria; Pseudomonadati; Bacteroidota
Description: Bacteroidetes bacterium partial 16S ribosomal RNA
Rfam family: Bacterial small subunit ribosomal RNA
Source: RNAcentral
UAGGGAAUCUUCGGCAAUGGGGGGAACCCUGACCGAGCAACGCCGCGUGAGUGAAGAAGGUUUUCGGAUCGUAAAGCUCUGUUGUUAAGGAAGAACGAGUGUGAGAAUGGAAAGUUCAUACUGUGACGGUACUUAACCAGAAAGGGACGGCUAACUACGUGCCAGCAGCCGCGGUAAUACGUAGGUCCCGAGCGUUGUCCGGAUUUAUUGGGCGUAAAGCGAGCGCAGGCGGUUAGAUAAGUCUGAAGUUAAAGGCAGUGGCUCAACCAUUGUAGGCUUUGGAAACUGUUUAACUUGAGUGCAGAAGGGGAGAGUGGAAUUCCGUGUGUAGCGGUGAAAUGCGUAGAUAUAUGGAGGAACACCGGUCGCGAAAGCGGCUCUCUGGUCUGUAACUGACGCUGAGGCUCGAAAGCGUGGGGAGCGAACAGG